UGAAUACGAGACGCUAAGGCGUCGAAGUAGUGUAUGUCAUACUUCCAAGAAAAGCUUGCACUGUCAUAGAUAAAAAACGCCUGUACCAUAACCGACACAGGUGGGUAGGUAGAGUAUACUAAGGGGCGCGAGAUAACUCUCUCUAAGGAACUCGGCAAAAUAACUCCGUAACUUCGGGAGAAGGAGUGCCUUAUUCGUAAGGUUGCAAUAACAAGAUCCAAGCAACUGUUUAUCAAAAACACAGGUCUCCGCUAAGUCGUAAGACGAUGUAUGGGGGCUGACGCCUGCCCAGUGCCAGAAGGUUAAAGAAGUUGGUUAGCAAUUGCGAAGCUGAUAACUGAAGCCCUGGUGAACGGCGGCCGUAACGAUAACGGUCCUAAGGUAGCGAAAUUCCUUGUCGGGUAAGUUCCGACCCGCACGAAAGGCGUGAUGAUUUGGAUACUGUCACGGAGAGGGGCUCGGUGAAAUAGACUUGCCUGUGAAGAUGCGGACUACCUGCACCAGGACAGAAAGACCCUAUGAAGCUUUACUGUAACUUGAAAUUGAAAUUGGACUUUAUUCGCGCAGCAUAGGUGGGAGGCGUUGAUUAUAAUCUUGCGGGAUUAUUGGAGCCAUCAGUGAGAUACCACUCUUGUAAUGUUAGAUUUCUAACUUUGAAUCAUUAUCUGGUCAAAGAACAGUUUCAGGCGGGCAGUUUGACUGGGGCGGUCGCCUCCUAAACGGUAACGGAGGCGUACAAAGGUUUCCUCUGAACGGUUAGAAAUCGUAUCUAGAGUGUAAAGGCAUAAGGAAGCUUGACUGUGAGACCUACAAGUCGAGCAGGGACGAAAGUCGGUCUUAGUGAUCUGACGGUACUGAGUGGAAAGGCCGUCACUCAACGGAUAAAAGUUACUCUAGGAUAACAGGCUGAUCUCCCCCAAGAGUUCACAUCGACGGGGAGGUUUGGCACCUCGAUGUCGGCUCAUCGCAUCCUGGGGCGGUAGUACGUCCCAAGGGUUGGGCUGUUCGCCCAUGAAAGCGGUACGCGAGCUGGGUUCAGAACGUCGUGAGACAGUUCGGUCCAUAUCCGGUGUAGGCGUUAGAAUAUUGAGAGGAGCCUUCUUUAGUACGAGAGGACCGAGAAGGACAUACCUCUGGUGUACCAGUUAUCGUGCCAACGGUAAACGCUGGGUAGCUAUGUAUGGAGUGGAUAACCGCUGAAAGCAUCUAAGUGGGAAGCCCACCUCAAGAUAAGUAUUCUCAC
This 1243-nucleotide ribosomal RNA is filed under the name metagenome. Its description in RNAcentral is "bacterial LSU rRNA". It matches the Rfam family "Bacterial large subunit ribosomal RNA", at positions 1564 to 2817 of the family's 2925-position model. The record is from RNAcentral.